Molecule: ribosomal RNA, 301 nt
Filed under: uncultured bacterium
Lineage: Bacteria
Description: partial 16S ribosomal RNA
Rfam family: Bacterial small subunit ribosomal RNA
Source: RNAcentral
CAGUAGCCGCGGUAAUACAGAGGGUGCGAGCGUUAAUCGGAUUUACUGGGCGUAAAGCGUGCGUAGGCGGCUAAUUGAGUCGGAUGUGAAAUCCCCGAGCUUAACUUGGGAAUUGCAUUCGAUACUGGUUAGCUAGAGUGUGGGAGAGGAUGGUAGAAUUCAAGGUGUAGCGGUGAAAUGCGUAGAGAUCUGGAGGAAUACCGAUGGCGAAGGCAGCCAUCUGGCCUAACACUGACGCUGAGGUACGAAAGCAUGGGGAGCAAACAGGAUUAGAUACCCCCGUAGUCCCUGUCUCUUAUAC